This 497-nucleotide ribosomal RNA is filed under the name uncultured bacterium. Its description in RNAcentral is "partial 16S ribosomal RNA". It matches the Rfam family "Bacterial small subunit ribosomal RNA", at positions 28 to 507 of the family's 1533-position model. The record is from RNAcentral.
GAUGAACGCUGGCGGCGUGCCUAAUACAUGCAAGUCGAGCGAACGGACGAGAAGCUUGCUUCUCUGAUGUUAGCGGCGGACGGGUGAGUAACACGUGGAUAACCUACCUAUAAGACUGGGAUAACUUCGGGAAACCGGAGCUAAUACCGGAUAAUAUUUUGAACCGCAUGGUUCAAAAGUGAAAGACGGUCUUGCUGUCACUUAUAGAUGGAUCCGCGCUGCAUUAGCUAGUUGGUAAGGUAACGGCUUACCAAGGCAACGAUGCAUAGCCGACCUGAGAGGGUGAUCGGCCACACUGGAACUGAGACACGGUCCAGACUCCUACGGGAGGCAGCAGUAGGGAAUCUUCCGCAAAGGGCGAAAGCCUGACGGAGCAACGCCGAGUGAGUGAUGAAGGUCUUCGGAUCGGAAAACUCUGUUAUUAGGGAAGAACAUAUGUGUAAGUAACUGUGCACAUCUUGACGGUACCUAAUCAGAAAGCCACGGCUAACUACGUG